Molecule: ribosomal RNA, 467 nt
Filed under: uncultured bacterium
Lineage: Bacteria
Description: partial 16S ribosomal RNA
Rfam family: Bacterial small subunit ribosomal RNA
Source: RNAcentral
GAUGAACGCUGGCGGCGUGCUUAACACAUGCAAGUCGAACGGAAAGGCCCAAGCUUGCUUGGGUACUCGAGUGGCGAACGGGUGAGUAACACGUGGGUGAUCUGCCCUGCACUUCGGGAUAAGACUGGGAAACUGGGUCUAAUACCGGAUAGGACCACAUUUUGGAUGGUGUGGUGGAAAGUUUUUCGGUGUGGGAUGAGCUCGCGGCCGAUCAGCUUGUUGGUGGGGUAAUGGCCUACCAAGGCGUCGACGGGUAGCCGGCCUGCGAGGGUGUACGGCCACAUUAGGCCUGAGCUGCGGCCCAGACUCCUACGGGUGGCAGCAGUGGGGAAUAUUGGACAAUGGGCGCACGCCUGAUGCAGCGACGCCGCGUGGGGGAUGACGGCCUUCGGGUGGUAAACUCCUUUCGCUAGGGACGAAGCGUUUUUGUGACGGUACCUGGAGAAGAAGCACCGGCUAACUACGUG